Corticium candelabrum is the source of this 969-nucleotide long non-coding RNA. RefSeq lists it as uncharacterized. The transcript has 4 exons. The record is from RefSeq and is a predicted model, not a curated record. NCBI's taxonomy places the organism in Eukaryota, Metazoa, Porifera, Homoscleromorpha, Homosclerophorida, Plakinidae.
AGGCAUAGACCACACCUAUCUCGUGACGUAUUAUAGGAGCUCUUCUCGUUGACUGGGUUUCGUAAUGAAAGCGGCAGUAUUGGAUUGCUGGUAUGUUCUGGAAGCGCCUUAUUAUGUUUGUGGUGUGCGCACCGUUCUAGGAGCCAUGAAAAGACUAUAUAAUUUUAGCCUGCACAAGAAAGGCUGCUGCAGGUGAAAGAAGAGAAGAGGAGAGAGAAAGGGAGAAGAAGAGAGAAGAGUUAUAACCGAAGUCUAACGUUGACCACAAAACGUGAAGACAGACGGAUCCGUCAAUACAGUCAGAUGACCUUCCUGUGCGCUAACGUCCACCAGUAUAGAAAGAGCAGAAACGGGGGAGGAAUUACGCACACGUGUGUGGAUGUACGUAAACAUACAAGCUUGAGCUCUUCUCGUUGACUAGGCUUCGUAAUGAAAGCGGCGGCAUUGGAUUGCUUGUACGUUCUGGAAGCGCCUCAUUGUAUUUGUGGUGUGCGUUUACCGUUCUAGGAGCCAUGAACAGGCCCUAGAAUUUUAGCUUGCGCAAGAAAGGGCAAACAGCUGCUGCAAGAGAAGAGGAGAGAGAAAGGGAGAAGAAGAGAAGAGGUCUAAACCUGCAAAAAGACUACCAGUACCUUGAUGAUGAUGAUACACAGGAGCCACAUGCACACACUAAGAGGUACCGCUCAGUGAGUUCCAUUAAGUAGACAAGAGUUAGACCCACCAACCAACAAAGCAGAACAGGAGCGACGGAGCGACUAGCAAGUUGGGAAGAAGAAUAGCCAUAAUGGUGUGUUGCAUGCAAUGGACUAUAGUUGGCGUCCAGAGCUGUUGACUCUAGAAACAUUAACCUUGAAGUUGUAGGAAUGGUGCAUAAGCUAAGUCUUGUAAUAGCAGUACGUGUCCAGAGCUAUUGAUGCUUGAACCUUAAAGUUGUAUGAAUGGAGCAAAAACUAAUUCUUGUUAUUAGAA